CCUACGGGAGGCAGCAGUGAGGAAUAGUGGUCAAUGGACGAGAGUCUGAACCAGCCAAGUAGCGUGAAGGAUGACUGCCCUAUGGGUUGUAAACUUCUGUUAUAGGGGAAUAAAACGUGACACGUGUGGGAUUUUGUAUGUACCAUAUGAAUAAGGAUCGGCUAACUCCGUGCCAGCAGCCGCGGUAAUACGGAGGAUCCGAGCGUUAUCCGGAUUGAUGGGGUUUAAAGGGAGCGUAGGUGGAUUGUUAAGUCAGUGGUGAAAGUUUGCGGCUCAACCGUAAAAUUGCAGUUGAAACUGGCAGUCUUGAGUACAGUCGCGGUGGGCGGCAUUCGUUUUGUAGCGGUGACAUGCUUCGCUCUCAC
This 365-nucleotide ribosomal RNA is filed under the name uncultured bacterium. RNAcentral describes it as "partial 16S ribosomal RNA". It matches the Rfam family "Bacterial small subunit ribosomal RNA", at positions 338 to 700 of the family's 1533-position model. The record is from RNAcentral.